RNAcentral lists this ribosomal RNA (433 nucleotides) under uncultured bacterium. RNAcentral describes it as "partial 16S ribosomal RNA". It matches the Rfam family "Bacterial small subunit ribosomal RNA", at positions 29 to 507 of the family's 1533-position model. The record is from RNAcentral.
AACGAACGCUGGCGGCAUGCCUAACACAUGCAAGUCGAACGAGACCUUCGGGUCUAGUGGCGCACGGGUGCGUAACGCGUGGGAACCUGCCCUUAGGUUCGGAAUAACUCCCCGAAAGGGGUGCUAAUACCGGAUAAUGUCUUCGGACCAAAGAUUUAUCGCCUUUGGAUGGGCCCGCGUUGGCUUAGCUAGUUGGUAGGGUAAAAGCCUACCAAGGCGACGAUCCAUAGCUGGUCUGAGAGGAUGAUCAGCCACACUGGGACUGAGGCACGGCCCAGACUCCUACGGGAGGCAGCAGUGGGGAAUAUUGGACAAUGGGCGAAAGCCUGAUCCAGCAAUGCCGCGUGAGUGAUGAAGGCGUUAGGGUUGUAAAGCUCUUUUACCCGGGAUGAUAAUGACAGUACCGGGAGAAUAAGCUCCGGCUAACUCCGUG